AUCAAGGAAUACCUGCAGGAAGAGCUGCAGAAAACUGAAGCUAGGAUCAAGGCAUUGGAGAAGAGGCUGGAGGAAGAAAUGAAAAUCAUUACAGAGAAAGUUAAUCCCCUCCCUCAGGCUUCAGAAAAUCAAGGACAUUGGUGAACCCCAUGGAAAAUCCCAUCAUGAAAUACACUGAGCUGGAAUAUAUUGGCAGCGGGACUUUUGGAGAUGUUUGUAGAGCACUCGACAAUGCCACAGGAGGAGAGGUGGCCAUAAAGAAAAUGAAUCUUCAAGCACUGAGGAAGAAGGAACUAAAAGUCAAUGAACUCAUGGUCAUGAAAAUGAAUAGGAAUCCACAGGUGCUCAACUGUUU
Molecule: long non-coding RNA, 355 nt
Organism: Serinus canaria (Common canary)
Lineage: Eukaryota; Metazoa; Chordata; Aves; Passeriformes; Fringillidae
Exons: 4
Source: RefSeq, a predicted model, not a curated record